ACGGAGGGUGCAAGCAUUGAUCGGAAUUACUGGGCGUAAAGGGCGCGUAGGCGGCUAGAAAGGUCAGAUGUGAAAUUCCGGGGCUCAUCCCCGGAGCUGCAUUUGAAACUCUCUAGCUAGAGUGCAGUUAGGGCAAACGGAAUUCCACGUGUAGCGGUGAAAUGCGUAGAUAUGUGGAAGAACACCGGUGGUGAAGACGGUUUACUGGGCUGUAACUGACGCUGAGGCGCGAAAGCAUGGGGAGCAAACAGGA
RNAcentral lists this ribosomal RNA (253 nucleotides) under uncultured prokaryote. Its description in RNAcentral is "partial 16S ribosomal RNA". It matches the Rfam family "Bacterial small subunit ribosomal RNA", at positions 525 to 777 of the family's 1533-position model. The record is from RNAcentral.